RNAcentral lists this ribosomal RNA (481 nucleotides) under uncultured bacterium. RNAcentral describes it as "partial 16S ribosomal RNA". It matches the Rfam family "Bacterial small subunit ribosomal RNA", at positions 28 to 507 of the family's 1533-position model. The record is from RNAcentral.
GAUGAACGCUGGCGGCGUGCCUAACACAUGCAAGUCGAACGGAGAUUACGGACAGAAGUUUUCGGAUGGAAGACUGUAAUUCUUAGUGGCGGACGGGUGAGUAACGCGUGGGCAACCUGCCCUAUACAGGGGGAUAGCAGCUGGAAACGGCUGGUAAGACCGCAUAAGUCGGCGAGACCGCAUGGUUUUGCCGGGAAAUGAGCAAUCAGGUAUAGGAUGGGCCCGCGUCCGAUUAGCCAGUUGGCAGGGUAAAAGCCUACCAAAGCAACGAUCGGUAGCCGGACUGAGAGGUCGGACGGCCACAUUGGGACUGAGACACGGCCCAAACUCCUACGGGAGGCAGCAGUGGGGGAUAUUGCACAAUGGAGGAAACUCUGAUGCAGCGACGCCGCGUGAGUGAAGAAGUAUUUCGGUAUGUAAAGCUCUAUCAGCAGGGAAGAUGAUGACGGUACCUGACGAAGAAGCCCCGGCUAACUACGUG